GCCCCUAUGGCGGAAUUGGUAGACGCGACGGAUUCAAAAUCCGUUGAACUUCGGUUCAUGUCCGUUCGAGUCGGACUAGGGGUACCA
Molecule: transfer RNA, 87 nt
Filed under: Alphaproteobacteria bacterium
Lineage: Bacteria; Pseudomonadati; Pseudomonadota; Alphaproteobacteria
Also listed under: 4 other names
Description: tRNA-Leu
Rfam family: tRNA
About the family: Transfer RNA (tRNA) molecules are approximately 80 nucleotides in length. Their secondary structure includes four short double-helical elements and three loops (D, anti-codon, and T loops).
Source: RNAcentral